AUUGAACGCUGGCGGCAGGCCUAACACAUGCAAGUCGAGCGGAUGACGGGAGCUUGCUCCUUGAUUCAGCGGCGGACGGGUGAGUAAUGCCUAGGAAUCUGCCUGGUAGUGGGGGACAACGUUUCGAAAGGAACGCUAAUACCGCAUACGUCCUACGGGAGGAAGCAGGGGACCUUCGGGCCUUGCGCUAUCAGAUGAGCCUAGGUCGGAUUAGCUAGUUGGUGGGGCUAUGGCUCACCAAGGCGACGAUCCGUAACUGGUCUGAGAGGAUGAUCAGUCACACUGGAACUGAGACACGGUCCAGACUCCUACGGGAGGCAGCAGUGGGGAAUAUUGGACAAUGGGCGAAAGCCUGAUCCAGCCAUGCCGCGUGUGUGAAGAAGGUCUUCGGAUUGUAAAGCACUUUAAGUUGGGAGGAAGGGCAGUAAGCUAAUACCUUGCUGUUUUGACGUUACCGACAGAAUAAGCACCGGCUAACUCUGUGCCAGCCGCCGCGGUAA
This 500-nucleotide ribosomal RNA is filed under the name uncultured bacterium. RNAcentral describes it as "partial 16S ribosomal RNA". It matches the Rfam family "Bacterial small subunit ribosomal RNA", at positions 30 to 523 of the family's 1533-position model. The record is from RNAcentral.